AUUGAACGCUGGCGGCAGGCCUAACACAUGCAAGUCGAGCGGAUGAAGGGAGCUUGCUCCUGGAUUCAGCGGCGGACGGGUGAGUAAUGCCUAGGAAUCUGCCUGGUAGUGGGGGAUAACGUCCGGAAACGGGCGCUAAUACCGCAUACGUCCUGAGGGAGAAAGUGGGGGAUCUUCGGACCUCACGCUAUCAGAUGAGCCUAGGUCGGAUUAGCUAGAUGGUGGGGUAAAGGCCUACCAAGGCGACGAUCCGUAACUGGUCUGAGGGGAUGAUCAGUCACACUGGAACUGAGACACGGUCCAGACUCCUACGGGAGGCAGCAGUGGGGAAUAUUGGACAAUGGGCGAAAGCCUGAUCCAGCCAUGCCGCGUGUGUGAAGAAGGUCUUCGGAUUGUAAAGCACUUUAAGUUGGGAGGAAGGGCAGUAAGUUAAUACCUUGCUGUUUUGACGUUACCAACAGAAUAAGCACCGGCUAACUUCGUG
This 484-nucleotide ribosomal RNA is filed under the name uncultured bacterium. RNAcentral describes it as "partial 16S ribosomal RNA". It matches the Rfam family "Bacterial small subunit ribosomal RNA", at positions 30 to 507 of the family's 1533-position model. The record is from RNAcentral.